GGCAUUCUGGCCUCUACUAAAGACCA
RNAcentral lists this non-coding RNA (26 nucleotides) under Mus musculus (house mouse). Lineage: Eukaryota; Metazoa; Chordata; Mammalia; Rodentia; Muridae. The record is from RNAcentral.